GGGGCUGACUGGUUUCGACGUCAGAGCUGUUGGACGGGUUUGCGACCCGAGUUGCUCAGACUCGCUAAACGGGGCACCAAACACAAUCGACGCCAAAAACGCCGAUUUCGCUCUCGCCUGAUCUUCAGGUCAUGAGAUGCGAUCAUCGUGAGCAGUAAUGCCGCACGGGGCCACUCCACCGCAGCCCGGCACCAGAAGCGGGGGAUGACGGCGAGAAAGACCGCUGACGGUCGGAAAGACGACUGACCCACGGGAAAGACCGUGCGUCGAUCCUCCGGGAUCAACCGACCCGCCGGUGAGCCAGCGUCAGGCUCGGAGUCGGGAAUGGUCGUAGCAGGUCCGCCCACGGGCUGAUGGACGGGGGUUCGAUUCCCCCCAGCUCCACGA
This 387-nucleotide transfer-messenger RNA is filed under the name Ilumatobacter sp. It matches the Rfam family "transfer-messenger RNA". Rfam says of the family: Bacterial tmRNA, also known as 10Sa RNA or SsrA, is named for its dual tRNA and mRNA-like properties. Its role is to liberate the mRNA from a stalled ribosome. The record is from RNAcentral. RNAcentral also lists the same sequence under 1 other name. Lineage: Bacteria; Bacillati; Actinomycetota; Acidimicrobiia; Acidimicrobiales; Ilumatobacteraceae.